This 88-nucleotide transfer RNA is filed under the name Deltaproteobacteria bacterium. RNAcentral's name for it is "tRNA-Leu". It matches the Rfam family "tRNA". Rfam says of the family: Transfer RNA (tRNA) molecules are approximately 80 nucleotides in length. Their secondary structure includes four short double-helical elements and three loops (D, anti-codon, and T loops). Lineage: Bacteria; Pseudomonadati; Myxococcota; Myxococcia. RNAcentral also lists the same sequence under 1 other name. The record is from RNAcentral.
GCCUGGGUGAUGGAACUGGUAGACAUAAGGGACUUAAAAUCCCUUGCUCCUGGUGGGCGUGGGGGUUCGACUCCCCCCCCAGGCACCA